AAAUCAUUCACACCUUAGACAUAUAAAAUGGCAAUGGUAAAAGUAUUCAUAAGCUUGACAGCGAUGACAGAGUGGGUCACUAAUAUUAAAUAGUUCAGUUGUCAUUACACAGUAUGGUUCAGUUGAGGUUGAGGUUGAGGGUAAGGAAAUGGAGGUGGUGUUGACAGUGGGUGUGGGUGUGGGUGAGUGUGGGGUGGACGAAGAUGAAGAUGAUGAUGAUGAAGAGAUGAUGAUGCUGAUGGAGGUGGGGUUGG
Arachis ipaensis is the source of this 254-nucleotide non-coding RNA. The record is from RefSeq and is a predicted model, not a curated record. NCBI's taxonomy places the organism in Eukaryota, Viridiplantae, Streptophyta, Magnoliopsida, Fabales, Fabaceae.